Long non-coding RNA from Sinocyclocheilus anshuiensis, 546 nucleotides. RefSeq lists it as uncharacterized. The record is from RefSeq and is a predicted model, not a curated record. The transcript is spliced from 3 exons. Lineage: Eukaryota; Metazoa; Chordata; Actinopteri; Cypriniformes; Cyprinidae.
UGGACGAUGGCAUCGACUAUCGGCCCAACCCUAGUUAUAUCCACGGGCUGUAAAGCAGGAAACUACAAACCCACACAAAUAAUUAGAAUUUUACAAAAAUGCAUUUAAAAAAUGCCAAUCCACGUCGGAGGAAAUGCAUAGGAGAAAAAGAGAGGGGAAAACACAAUGCUAUUCACCAGAUGGACAGAGGCAGUGUCACUGUGCAUUUUAAUUGGACUUUCAAGAUGUAUUCCCCAACUUGGCUACAACAGCCCCCAUCUGAUUACACAUUAUGACAAUAUUAUAACAGAUGUCCAGGCCAAUAAAGAAAAUUCCUGAAGGACUGUAUGUAAUUUCAAGACGGAGAACCCAGGACCAUACCAGGAAGUCCCUUUACACGAGACUGAACCACAAGUUGCAAUUUACAGCCUUUCAACAGCAUUACACAGUUUUCGUGUUUAUAAUGAUGCAAAAACAGGCUUGUGAGGGGCAAUACGGUUAAAUGGCUCUAGUUGAACAAACAGUAAAGGGGUCAGUGAAUUUUAGAUGGUUGCACACACACACAUA